CUGUUUAAUAAACGAGUAGGAGUGUUUUAUCACAUAUAAAGAGACGCCACGCUUAUGAUUUCUCUUUGUGUUUUCCUCAUGAAUUAUUAAUGAGUUUUAAAGUACUAUUUAAAACAUGAGCAGCAGUGUUUUAUCAGAUGUAAUGAUACGAGGCGAAGCCGAGUAUCUUUAGGUCUGAUAAAACACGCACUGCAAAUGUUUUAAAUUGCAUAAAAAACGAUGGAUCUAGUAAGUUCAGUGGCGAAGUAAUUUUCAAAAAAUACGUUGUGUAAGUCGAGAAAAUCAAAGUUAAAGUUUAUGUAAAUCAAGGGAAAUCAUUAUCAGAUACAGGGUGUAUCAUGUUAAAAUUUGAAUGCCUUUUCAAUUGCACAUAUGCUGAACCGUGGUGCGUGAAAUAUUGAUGGAGUGCAUAUAUUAGGCCCCGUUUACAUGAGACCGGGACGAAGUCAAACCGGAAUGAAAAUUGAAAUUGUCAACAUGUUUACAUGAGACCGGUACGAGGAUCACAAAAUCUUCAAUUUAUUUCCCUUGCCAGGCAAUUUUCUUUUUCAGGUGGCUUUUGCUAGCAUGUGUUGUUCCAAUGUCAAGAUUACAGCCGAGACCGGUCUGAAAUGUAUUUGUAGAGAGGUUAAGAUACCCCGGUUCCGGUUUACGGGUACGGGUGAUAUACACGUACCCGUACUCGUAAACCGGGGAACGACUUGUAACUUAAGAAAUCCAAGAUAUUCCGGCGUGCGUAAACCUAUCAGUGAAUGGCAACUUUCGCUGUUGAGGUUCGCCAUAGAUUGUUGAAAACUUUGACAAGCAUAAGUGCAUCAUUUAUUUGGGUAAGAUGUUGAAAAUUUGUACUAUUUAAACGGCCCACAAAUAGUAAACACAAAACACCCGUACCCGUUUGCCUUUUACGUGUAGACCAUGGUUUACCGCGGGGAAACGGGUAGAAAUCACGGGUAAAAAUGCUGACAUCAGCAAAAAUUGGUAAACAAAAUGGCGAUACUCGUACCCGUAGACCGGAACCGGGGUAUCUUAACCUCUCUUGUGUUUACAUUCAUCCCGGUCUGAAUUCAUGCCGGUCUGAAGUCAGUCGGUUCGGUCCAGAAGGCGGAAUGACUUGAGACCGGUCUGAGUUAUUUUCGUCCCGGUCUCAUGUAAACAUCUAUUAUAGAUAAUACUAUGACCGAAACGAGAUGGUCCCGGUUUGACUUCGUUCCGGUCUCAUGUAAACGGGGCCUUAGAAAAAGGAGACCUUUAGAAAUCAACCAUUGUUAUAAUUUGAAUCCUGCAUAGAUCCAAGUAUUCGUGGUAAAAUGGUAAAUGGUCAAGUUGCAGUAUAGAACAUUGCAUGUGAGGAAGCCGAGCUUUAAAAAGCUAUGGUGACCAUGGCAUUUUAAAACUUAUGCAUUAUCAAAAUUUUUUUUUUGAAUAUUCUACAAGCAUUCCAAGAAUGUGACGCUUGGGCGCGAAGCCAACAUCGGUGCUGCUUGACGUAUAUACGAAACUAAAGUUAUUUUUUAUAUAAAAGAAGUCACAAUAUGUGAAGUGCAUCGUUUUAAGACGUAGAGGCCUGUAAAACUUAUAUCGUGAUUAAAUAAAUUAUUAUUAUUAUUAUUAUUGGCAUUUCCUUAUAUUCUGUUCUCAAUUGUCUUUUCCUUUAUUCUGUUGUUGCCCUAUGUUGUGUGUUUAUGUGCGAAAUUGUCGGCGGGGUCAUUUGACCAAUUCGCCUGGCAGUGUUU
Molecule: long non-coding RNA, 1733 nt
Filed under: Paramuricea clavata
Lineage: Eukaryota; Metazoa; Cnidaria; Anthozoa; Malacalcyonacea; Plexauridae
Source: RNAcentral